CCUGGUUAUUCAUAACCCUUUGUUGUCCGACUCUGUUGCCUCCGGGGCGACCCUGCCUUCGGGCGGGGGCUCCCGGUGGACACUUCAAACUCUUGCGUAACUUUGCAGUCUGAGUAAACUUAAUUAAUAAAUUAAAACUUUUAACAACGGAUCUCUUGGUUCUGGCAUCCAUGAAGAACGCAACAAAAUGCCAUAAGGAAUGUGAAUUGCAGAAUUCAGUGAAUCAUCGAAUCUUUGAACCCACAUUGCGCCCCCUGGUAUUCCGGGGGGCAUGCCUGUUCGACCGUCAUUUCACCACUCAAGCCUCGCUUGGUAUUGGGCAACGCGGACCGCCGCGUGCCUCAAAUCGCCCGGCUGGGUCUUCUGUCCCCUAAGCGUUGUGGAAACUAUUCCCUAAAGGGUGUUCGGGAGGCUACGCCGUAAAACAACCCCAUUUCUAAGGUUGACCUCGGAUCACGUAGGGAUACCC
This 469-nucleotide ribosomal RNA is filed under the name uncultured fungus. RNAcentral describes it as "eukaryotic LSU rRNA". The stretch from base 136 to 289 matches the Rfam family "5.8S ribosomal RNA". The record is from RNAcentral. Lineage: Eukaryota; Fungi.